Molecule: non-coding RNA, 22945 nt
Organism: Punica granatum (pomegranate)
Lineage: Eukaryota; Viridiplantae; Streptophyta; Magnoliopsida; Myrtales; Lythraceae
Source: RefSeq, a predicted model, not a curated record
CCCAGCAUCGUCUUGUCUGCUCAUUCCCCGUCUAUUUCUGUCUCUCAGAGGCAGACGGGGACGAGAGAGGGAGGUCGAGGAGAUUCCGUAGGUUAUGUCGAUCUCCUCCUCCGGCGUUCUUGUUCAUCGUCGAUAUAGGGUUUCCGGUCUCAGGUUGAUCAUGGUGGUUAUCCAGGCUCGGAGUAGGAUUGAUGACGGUGGAUGAAGUAGAUCUUAUCCUUUCCCGCGAAGGCUCUCUGAUCGAUUCUUCCUUUCUGCGCUUCCUAAACUUCAGCUUUCCCUUCCAAUUGAUUUUUAAUUACUGUGUGGCUGGGGAUUUUUAGUUUUAUGCGUUGUUCCACGCAGUUUGAUCAAGCUUCGUGGGGGAUCAGCGGAGUCUAAAGCUUACGAGAAGCUUCUGUUUGGAUUCAGUCCUCGUUGCUUUCGAUAACUGGAUUUGACUCUUGAUUUCAGUGAAUUCUCGUGUCGCCUGGGAUUUAUCGGUAGUUUAUGCGCUAUUUCUACGCAGUUUGAUCAAGCUUUGUGAGGGAUCAACGAAGUGUAGAGCUUACGAGAAGCUUCUGUUUGGAUACAAUCCCCCAAUCUUUUGAUAAUUGGAUUUGACUCUUCCGAUUUCGGUGAAUCCUCGUGUCUUCUGGAAUUGAUCGGUAGUUUAUGCUUUCUACGCAGUUUGAUCAGGCUUUGUGGGGGAUCGGUGGAGUUUUAAGAGCUUCUGUUUGGAUUUGGAUUGGAUCCUCCUCUCUUUCGAUAACAGGAUUUGACUCUUUUUGAUUUUGGUGAAUUCUCGUGAUUUUGAUGUUGCCUUGUCGGCCUGCGCCGCUGAUUUGUGGAUCACGUGUUGCAGAUUAUGGGUCGUUCUACAUAGAUUCCUUGAUCAGGCCUUGUGGAGGAUCAGCCGAGUCUAGAAAUUCUGAGAAGCUUCUCUUUGGCCUGGAUCCUCCUUUCUUUUAUCAACUGGAUUUGACUCUUGAUUUUGGUGAAUUUCGUGAUUGUUGAUUGCUAUGUCAACCUGGAGGGUCUGAUUGGUGGAUCGCGUAUUCAUGCAGAUUCUUUUCCCGUAGUUAACGCUUGAGACGGGGGUUGCCUGCGACUGUGGUUGGGAUCGGUUUAGUGUUCUAAUCUCAGCUGUUUGGUUUCAUACUCAGUUUGAGUUUAUUGGCGAGCUAUCAUAUUUGGUCAAUACCACCCGCAAUUUCGGUUGUGUUUUCUUCAUCAGAUUUGAGUCAGAUGGAUGAAGUUCAACGAAAUAGAUCUCUUCAUCAGUGAAGACUUUGGGCGAUUUUGGAGCUUUCUGAAUGAUUAAUAGAUCCUUUGCCACUGCUGAAUGACUGAUCAUGCGUAUUGAGCAAACAUGGGAUAGCUUGCGUUUGAAUCUCUGAUGACCUUAGCUCAUAUCUUUGACUGAUGGUUCUUUUGGGGAGUUCUUUUGAUUGUUGACCUUGUUUUGUCAAUCUGGAGCUUUGAUCUUUGAUCACGUAUUUGUGCAGAUCCUUUUCUGCUUGAUUGUAGUUCAUGCUUUUGGUAGGAGCUGCAUGCGGUCGGAGAGUCGAUUGGUUUUGUGUUUCAGUUUUGGUGGUUCAAUUUGAUUUGAUACUUGGUUUUUGUCUCUUCAUGAGCUAUAUCCGGUUGAUGAUUUCCCCCAAUGUCUGUUUUGUUGUGGUUGUCAGAUCUAAUAUUCAGACAGAUGAGGGGCAGCAAAGUCGUUCUUGAUCAGCGCUGGCAUUUGUUUGGAAACUAUAUUUUCCCAACGAUCUUGAAUUACUUCUGUGUUUUCUCUUGGUUCUUUUUAUGGUCAAGAUUACUUUCUAAAACUGGUACUUACGUUAGGAAAGUCUGUCUUGCAGAAUCUUAAAUGAACGCUCACGCUCAUAGGUCCUACAUGGAUUGGGAAAGCCAUUGAUUCUUUGUUGGUUAACAAUUUUGUUUGUUGCAUUGUGGUUUUCUUUUUUUCCUGAACUAUUAUUUUCUUGUGGUUUGCAGGGACAUUAUUCCUGGAUGGUGAUAUUUCCCGUUUUGACAUCCGGUUAUUUUGUUCCCUCUUUCAGGCUAUUUCUCUUUCUGCUAAAGUUUAUUGCCUGGUUAUUGAUGAUGUUUUCCUGUGUGGAUCGGUGCCUGCCCAUAUCGUUUUCCAAUGGUUUGAGGUUGGAUAUGUGUGCAUAUAUAUUUCUUUAAAAAUGCUCAGGACUCUCUUCCCCUAACUAUAUAUUUUUUCAUGGUUUAUUCUGUCACCGAUGAAUCCAGAAACUUUUUCGAAGGAUUACGCUAUACUGUAAUGUGCAGAUUUUUUCGCUGUAAUUGGGACGGCUAGAAACAAUUGAUAAGUUGAAUGUUCUUUGUUCAUUUCAAAUUUUUGAACUAUAAUAAUUUCUAGGGUCUAUGGAUGCUCUCAAUUCCAUUCCUCUGGCUAUUUUCAUGUCAGGUCCAGGUCAAAGAUGAGGUUGGAACUUUAUCUUCUUGGCAAAGGCUUCAGAACGUUUUGGGGGACAUAUAUUACUCCUUCUCUUUUUCUUUUAUUUUAUAUUAUUUUCAUUCAUUUCUUUCGGAUCCAAACCUUUUGGUUUUAACCUUGAACUUAUGCAUAUAUUUAUGCACAUUGUGCAGAUUCUCUGGUUACACUUUGGAACAGAUGAGUCCUAGCAUAGUUAGAAACUGCUGUGUUUGGAUACUCUUCCUCUUCAAUUACUAUGACCUAUUUCUUCAAUUUUAGCAGACUUCUAUUCAAUGUGAAACUGCCUCGUCAACCAAACUUAAUUUUUAGGAUGGUGUCAUGCAGAUAUUCACGUCGCUUUUAUUGGAGAAGAGUGGCAUCUUGGGAUCUUUAUGAACUUCUGCUUGGGAACUCUCAUUUCUCCCUAAUUUUUAAACAGAUUCUUUUUCCUCACAAAAUUCAUUCAUUGUUCAAUUGCUGCCAGGGGAGUGAUAUUUGUUUUCGGCUGGUUGUGGUGUAGGAAAGUGACGUAAGGACUCAAAACACUUCAGAGUGUGGCCUGAUUAGUGGCGAAGUUUUACUCUGGGGGUUUUCUUGGACUUUUGUGUUUUCGAUGUGAUCUUGAAAGAUAUCACAGCUGCAGUGAUGACAUUGGAUUUAUCUGGUUCUGUCGUAGGUUCAAAAUUUGAUUCUCUGUUAAUUCUUCUAUCAUGGACAAAAUCCUUUUGUGCACACUUCAUCUCCAUCCACAAUCAAGGCAAGUUGAAGGAUGCACUGGCUUUGCUCAUGCAUAGGAUCCAGCAGUCUGGGGGAUUUCUUGAACUAGUCUCUCCCCUUCUUUUUAUUUUUUUAAGCAAUGCUUAAAUGUCAGCCAGAGAAGUGACUUGCUUUUGGUUGGUUCCGGUGUAGGAUGAUCACGAUAAUUCAACUUUGGAUAGUGGCCUUUAUCUGCGCUGGAGUUUUGAUUAUAGGGGUUUUCUUGGACCUCUUUUUUUUUUCAAAGUGAUCUUGAAAGAUAUCACGUCUAAAGUGACAUAUUCGUUAUAUCUGGUUCUGUUGUAGGAAGAAACUAGACCUUUUUCACACUUCUACAUGGACAAAAUCUUUUGAAGCAUAAAGGACGCAACGGCUUUGUUCAAGGAUGGUUUCCAGCAAUCUGGGGGUUCUCUUGAACUAUUAUGCUUUCUGAUAAGCCAUGAUUGUAUGCAGUCAGAGGAGUGAUACAUGUUUUUGGUUGGUUGCAAUGUAGGAUGGUGAUAAAAGGACUGAACACUUUGGUUCGGGGUCUCAGAUAUGCUGAAGUUUUGAUUAUAGGGGGUUUCUUGGACUGUGUUUUGAGAUCUUGAAAGAUGUCAUAGCCAAAGUGAUAACAUUGGUUUAAUCUGGUUAUGUUGUAGGACGGAAGUACAAUGGCGAGUCUCCUAGACAAGGAUUUUGGAGUUUGAUCUUUCGUCGUUAUCGUGAAAUCUCUACCUGUGGGUGUCGUUUCCUGAGUGUUGAUUUGUAUAUAUUUCUCACUUCUAGGGUUGAUGGAAGAUUGAUUCCCGAGCAGAUGGCUUAUUGUGGAAUUUGUGGUCAAGAGGCUCAAAUACUACUACUACUUUUUUUUUUCCUUUUCUGUUUUGGUUAUCAUCUGACAGAAGCUGGCAUUAAAGAGAUUGGUUCCUUUUCAGUUAACAAUAGAUUCUCAGUUCACGGAUUCCUCUUUCUGUAUAUGUCACUUCAAAAGGUGUUGAUUAUGUCUCUAGAGUUACCCGUUAAUGGUUUCCUUUUCUACACAAUGGUGGUGGUUCCUGUUCCAUAGAAGGCAGUUCUCGCAUCACAUAUUGGAGAUAUUGGUGCAGAAUUAAUCUUUUUUGGCUAAGGCUUGGGCAUUUCAACUUCUUUCUUUGCUUUGGAUAUUUUGUUUUAUUACAGAAAGGUUCCGAAUGUUUGGAGUUCAACCUGAAGCUUAUUCUUAGCAUUAUGCACAUGGUGCAGAUUCUUUUAUCUUGCGUUUCGGGGUGCAACGGAAAUAAUGGCAUGCAAAGAGUGCAUACUUCUUCCCUUGAAUGAUUAAAUAUAACUAUUCUCUUAGUAUUUGUCGUAACUGCCUCCACCACUUGGAUCUUGUUCUUAUGAUCAUGUUGCAGAUGCUUCAGCUGCUAAAGACAUUUUAUAUCCCUCGCUUGGAGGAGAGUGUGGGCUUUCUUCGAUGUGGUUGCUUUGUUGUUUCUCACUUCACACACAUUUUGGAAGCCUUUCUUUUGGGUAACCCUAUUUUCCAGUUUAAUUUUGUGUUGAUUUGAUAGUUUGAUAACAUGAACAAGAAUCUGGUUUUGCAUCUCUCUUUUUUUACUCUAUUUUUUUUCUUUUAUUUGGAAGGGCUUGGAUACAAUUGAUCUAUUUGAUAUGCUGGCAGACACUUAUAUUUUGGACUGGUCAUUUUCUAUCUCAAGUCUUGGUUUUGGCCUGUCAUGUAGCAGCAGUUUGUGUAGGAUGACGGGAUUUGCAGGUGUUUUCACUAUUUUCUUGUGGGUUUUCUAAAACAUUGGGAAUGUUUAGCUAUGUAUCUCUGCCGUUCAUUAUACGGUGCAGUGGAGCUGAUGGAGUCACCAUGGAGUCCAAAGUUUCUUGGGGUCAUUUAAGAUUGGAGAUGAUUAAUUUUCCUCAUUGGAUCAGUUUCUGCGGUUGGAGAUGAUGAUGGUUUAUUGAAAUGGAUUUGUCUUUGCCGAUUUUGCGACUCCCCUCUUUUUCCUGAAAUUGUGGCUGCGUACUACGUGACCGAGGAUAUUAUACAUCUGCUUGAAGUUUUUUCUGCUUCUGAGCUGCCUCUCAUUCUUCAGCAUUUAAUGCAAAAGGUUGAAGGAAUAUCUGUCCGUUGGUUGUAUUCCUCUCCUUUUUCUGAUCAAACUGGUUUAUGGGCUUUAACAGUAAAGCACACACAUUGAUGAGGUUGCUUUCUAGGCUUCACACCUCUAUCUGCUGUUGGAUUUCGUGUCGUCGUUGGCUCUCUCAUGUUGGAGGAUGUAAUAUGGUCUUCUUGGUAUCUUUUCCUUGGCUGGAGUUCUUUUGAUGAAUGCCUCUCUCUUGCGGUUGCGGCCACUUGUGUCUUCUAGCUUGCUUCGGUUUUUAACUCCAGUCUCUACAAAUAUUGAUUUGGAUUGAUGCGGGAUUAGUUGGCUAUUUGUGGGGAGAUUCUUCUUGUUACUGAUUUAUCAUAUGGGAGUUGAUGCCGAGAAUUUCAUCUCAAUGCACGAUAGCUCUAGUGCUUGUGUUUCUUUGGGUUUCUCUGGUGUUUGCUCAGUUUUUGAAGUACCUUCAGAGUUGGGAGCAUGCAUGAAGUUCUAUUCUUAAUUUAGAAGAAGUUUUGUCCUAAUGUUGGAUUUUAUGUAUAGUGGUUUAUAUAUGGCUUAGAGAUCUUAGCCUUUUUCUUUCAAUUGGUUGAUAUCUUCUUUCUCUGUUACUAUAGAUGGUAAAUAGUUUAUCAAAUAUGAAACUAUCGGAGAUGCAUUAUUUAUUUCUCGUAUCUUCUGUUCUGUUGAAAAUUCUGUAAAGAUAAGCUGAGGUUGCUGGUGGGAUUGAUUCCUUUGAUUGCUAGUAGAUGUUUCGAAAAAUGAUUGAUUAUUGCAAAAUUGUCAAAUUUAAUUUUGGAUCGAUUCUUUAGAGCUCGUGUGACUUUGUUUAUGGCCAAUAAUGGUCAUUAGUCCCCAAUAGGUAGAGGCUGCAGGGGGCUUCUCAUUUUCAUUUCAGGUCUGGUCUCCAAGUUUGCAGGUGCGGCAGGUAUGAUAAAUAUUAAUAUCUGAUAUUAUAAUUAUAAUUAUAAAGAACUACGUGGGCUCUGAUCCUCUCGGGGGUACGUAGGCACCCACAUAAUUUGUGGAGUUCGAGCCCAAUUAAUUAUAACCCACUUCCCCCCAAUUCGUAGUUGCCCGUCUAUUUGUAUGAGUUCAGUUUUUGGAAUCUUUGUUGGUUGAGUUUUAGUUUGAUAUAUUCCAUUCUGCUAUUGCCACAACAAAUGAUCUGUAUCGGAGGGGAUGGUGUUUGGUGUGCAUUAUUAAGGCCAAAUAGAGCUUAUUUUGUAAAAUUAUACCUUAGAAGCUUUUAGAAAAUGAUGUGACGAUCUUUAGGUCGAGUGAUUUUUUUGUUAGGUUUUAUUGAAGUUUGUUGCAAAGUUGAUAUGAUAUGUGUGAUCUCUUUUUUGUUUUGUUAACUGAGUGUAGAUUCAAUCAACUUUUAACAGAAUAGUGCCAGUUCAAUUAGACGACUGCUGAGUUACAGAUAUGUGAACAACGAAUUGGUGGUCAGUACCUUGUCAACGUUUUAACUAUAAGUUCAUCCCCGAGUGCUCUUUGUUAAUCAAAAUUCUUUAGAAAUUGUAUUUGUUUUGCCAAGUUGGAAUUCGCAUACAACGUUUGCUCAUCUGCAACUUGAAGUUUCUAGGAAUCCUCUCUAGGAUCCAAUUAUUUGGAAAGGUUGGGAUUUUGCAUGACACUUUGCGUCAAUCAAACACAGCUCAAAACUCUGUUUUCUUAAUUAACAUAAGUUCCAACUUUGUGGGGUAGUGACCAACAGCUUUUUAAAUGUGCUUAGAAUAGUUUUUGAGCCUCUUACUAAUGAUUAGACUUGCGUGAUUUAGUUGUAGGAUUAAGAAUGUUUAAGCCUCAAUAUAUGGAUUGGGUCCAGUUGACUAUUCUGAUAUGUUGACAGAUGACAAGUGGCAAUCUUAGGGAAAUAUGUGAUAUAUGAAAGUGGAUUAAUCUUACUCGUCUGACCAUUUUCUUCUCUAAGCUUACAAUUAGAGACAGGCUUUUGUUGACACUCCAGUGGGCACAUAUGUUAAGGGUAAUAAGAGAAAUGGAUUGCUGUUUUUGGGUUUCAAAAUAUUUUGGUCAAGGAGAGUGCAAGACAGGUUACAUCUGAAAUUUUGAAAUCAGUUGUCUUUGAUCUAACAGUUCAAUAUAUAUAGAUUUCCGAUAUCGACAAUUCUGUGGGUUCAUGAGCUUUUCUUUUGGAUAUACCUUCUCUUGAUUGUAUCAGAUGAUGACUCAUGGCAUUUUAAAGGAGGAAGCAUACCCCUGGUUGGUUCUCUGGUCUCAGCUUUGUUGUCAGUGUUUUCCUCAAUCGGUGAUCCUCUUGUAUAUAGUAUUGUUUUCUGGAUUUACUGGUGGCGGUCUGGCAGAUUGUGGUGUUGAGAUCUUUUUGAAACCUUGUCUCAAUUAAUCAGAGAUAGUAUUUCCUGUUAGUAUCGCUUUGGAACAUCACAAUGAGGAGCUAUAGGAAGUGCAAAUCAGUCACAGGAACGAACUAAUUCGGUGCACUUACUGGUAGGAUUAUCUUAAAAUAAUAUGAGCCAGGAUGAGAGUUCUCCCUUAAUGCAUGUGGGUAAUUGUGCGUUAGAUUCUUGAUAGCUGUUGUCUACCCAAUGUUCAUGUUUGACUGUGCUCCUCACUGCAGAGUUCAUCGGAUGAUGGGGGCGUUGGUAAAAACUUUGUUCCGAGAGAAUAAUAAGUUGAAUCAAUACAUCAAUGCUUAUUAUAAGUUAAAAUGGAAUAUUCUUAUUAGAAUUGCGGGUCCUGGUCCCUUGGCCUCCGUGUAUGCUCCAUGGAUCUUUUUCAUUUCAGGUCUGACUUGAUUUUUCCUAGGGCGUGACAGGUAUGUAUUCAUUAUCGUUUCUAAAAGAACUGAUCCUCGUACCAAUGUAGGCACCCAUACACCUGUGGGGUUCGUGUCCAGCUUCAUCCCCCCCCCCAAAAGUUUUUUUCAUUUUUGUACUCCAAUUAUGUUUUUUGCAUGUGUUUGAUGUGUAUAUAUAUGUACGUCUGCUAAAUAUCGAAACUGUUCUGUUUGGAAGGGAAAUGAUUCUACACCCUGGUUUGUGAUUCGUGGCUUCAUCACCGCGUAUGGUUGGCCUGUAAUUUUGCUUAUUUUAGUUCUAUGUUCUCCUGAAGUGCUCUGUAUUGGAACCUUCGUACCCUCUUGUCAAGGCCUGCCUCUGUUUUGUAGUCUUGAGCCAGGUUGAAAUAGAAUAAUCAGGCAACUCUCAAAACUUUAUAUCAGCAUGAUCACUGUCGUUGCUGACUGUAGUAGUAGGGGCCAUCAGGGUUCGUUUAUUUAGUUUUGGUUUAACUAAUCAAUUAGUAGUAGUGUUGUUCCCUGUUUUGGACGGGAAUGUCCCAUUGAUAUGCAUUUGUUGAAAGAUUUAUAUUUAUAAUAAAAAUUUGAACCGAGCUUACCUACAAGGAUGUUUAUUCUCUAUCCAAUUUUCAUUGAGGUCUGUCUUAGCUCGGAGGCCAUUGAGCUAAACAUGUCGAGCCUUGUACAAAUAGGAAGUCACAUUCCAUUAUCCGAUGAGACAGUUCGGCCUUACUUAAGAUUCACUGAAUAAUGUAAUUAGUGAUGCUUUGAAUUCAAAAGGACUUGCUAAAUGUUGUAAUUAAUGAUGCUUUUAAUUCAAAAAUGAACUGACAAGUUGCCGAACGUUGGAAGAAAUUGUCCAUCAUGGGUUUUCUUUCAAUAAAGAUAAUUCUUCUGAAAGGAAAAUGGUCAGUGUGUAGCUCAGCCCCUGACGGCCACGUGCGCUCUUCCAUGUCGUGAAAGCGGGGUACCAAAAUGUUGCAUGCAUCGUUUCCACCUGGCGGUGGUGGAAAUGUAAUAUGUAGAAUCUUGAAACAAAAAAGUGACGGCAAAAAAAAAUAAAAAUAAAUAAUAUAUAUAUAUAUAUAUAUGUAGAAUCCUCUAAUACAAUAUAAUAGCCAUGCCAAUUUAUUGAUAUCCUUGAGAUUGACCAUGGUAAUGCCAGCUUGGUAUAAGUUAUGCCAUUCUUUCACAGCGAUAUAUUUUUAAUUUGUUUUUUGACUUUUAGAUAUAAUCGUAUAUGUCUUGAAUAAUUUUCACCGUACUAAUGGGGUAUGAUCCUUGAGGCUGUAUUAGCGGCCACUCCGGGGGGGCUGCCCUGGGUAAGCUGCCUCAAUCCAUCGAUGGAGGACCUUAACAAUUCGAAUCCUCAAGCACGAUAAGUUUUUGCAGGCUUUUGUCAUUCAAUUCCUCUGGAGAAAUAACCAACCGGUCUUGGACAGUGUGUUGGGAGGUCCAAUCUUAUCUUCGUUUUCGACUCGUCAACUUCUCCACCGUCCAUUCCCGAUAUCACCGCCUAAUCUCCACCGUCCAUCCCUCGCCAGCUCCUAUAAAUAACCGCCCCCUGCAUAGUAUCCUCUGCCUCGUACUCCGUCUCACACAGGAGGACGGAGAGGAGAGAGGGAGAUCGAGGAGAGUCCGUGGGUUCUGUCAACCUCCUCCUCCGUCGUUCUCGCUCAUCGUCGGGUCUCAGGUUGAUCGUGGUGGUUAUUCAGGUUCCGAGUUGGAUUGUUGUUGAUGGUGGAUGAAGUUGAUCUUAUCCUUUUCCCUUGAAGGCUCUCUGAUCGAUUCUUCCUUUCUGCGCUUCCUAAACUUCGUCUUUCCCUUCCGAUUGAUUUUUAAUUACUGCGUCACCGGGGAUUUAUCGGUAGUUUUAUGCGUUGUUCCACGCAGUUUGAUCGAGCUUCGUUGGGCAUCAGCGGAGUCUAGAGCUUACGAGAAGCUUCUGUUUGGAUUCCUUUCUUUCGAUAACUGGAUUUGACUCUCUUGAUUUCGGUGAAUUCUCGUGUCGCCUGGGAUUUAUCGGUAGUUUAUGCGCUGUUUCUAUGCAGUUUGAUCAAGCUUUGUGAGGGAUCAACGGAGUCUAGAGCUUACGAGAAGCUUCUGUUUGGAUACAAUCCCCCCGAUCUUUUGAUUAUUGGAUUUGAAUCUUCCGAUUCAGUGAAUCUUCAUUUCUUCUGGAAUUGAUCGGUAGUUUAUGCAUUGUUCUAUGCAGUUUGAUCAGGCUUUGUGGGGGAUUGGUGGAGUUUUGAGAGCUUCUGUUUGGAUUUGGAUUGGAUCCUCCUCUCUUUCGAUAAUAGGAUUUGACUUUUGAUUUUGGUGAAUUCUCGUGAUUUUGAUGUUGCCUUCUCGGCCUACGCCUCUGAUUGGUGGAUCAUGUAUUGCAGAUUAUGCGUCAUUCUGCAUAGAUUCCUUGAUCAGGCCUUGUGGAGGAUCAGCCGAGUCUAGAGAUUCUGAGAAGCUUCUCUUUGGCCUGGAUCCUCCUUUGUCUCAUCAACUGGAUUUGACUCUUGAUUUUGGUGAAUUUUCGUGAUUGUUGAUUGCUAUGUCAACCUGGAAGGUCUGAUUGGUGGAUCCCGUAUUCAUGCAGAUUCUUUUCCCGUAGUUAACGCUUGAGACAGGAGUUGCCUGCGACUGGGGUUGGGAUCGGUUUUGUGUUCUAAUAUCAGCUGUUUGGUUUCAUACUCAGUUUGUGUUUAUUGGCGAGCUAUCAUAUUUGGUCAAUGGUUGCCCCCAAUUUCGGUUGUGUUUUCUUCAUCAGAUUUGAGAGUCAGAUGGAUGAAACGAAAUAGGUCUCCUGAUCAGUGAAGGCUUCGGGCGAUUUUGGAGCUUUCUGAAUGAUUAAUGGAUCGUUCGCCACUGCGAUUUUGAGCAAACAUGGGAUAGCUUGUGUUUGAAUCUCCGAUGACCUUAGCUCAUAUCUAUGAUUGAUGGUUCUUUUGGGGAGUUCUUUUGAUUGUUGACCUUGCUUUGUCAAUCUGGAGCUUUGAUCUUUGAUCACGUAUUUGUGCAGAUCCCUUUAUGCUUGAUUGUAGUUCAUGCUUUUGGUAGGAGCUGCAUGCGGUCGGAGAGUCAAUUGGUUUUGUGUUUCAGUUUUGGUGGUUCAAUUUGAUUUGAUACUUGGUUUUUGUCUCUUCAUGAGCUAUAUCCGGUUGAUGAUUUCCCCCGAUGUCUGUUUUGUUGUGGUUGUCAGAUCUAAUAUGCGGACAGAUGAGGGGCAGCAAAGUCGUUCUUCUUGAUCAGCGCAGACAUUUGUGUUUGGAAACUAUAUUUUCCCAACGAUCUUGAAUUACUUCUGUGUUUUCUCUUGGUUCUUUUUAUGGUCAAGAUUACUUUUUAAAACUGGUACUCACGGUAGGAAAGUCUGUCUUGCAGAAUCUUAAAUGAACGCGCACGCUCAUAGGUCCUACAUGGAUUGGGGAAGCCAUUGAUUCUUUGUUGGUUAACAAUUUUGUUUGCUGCAUUGUGGUUUUCUUUUUUUCCUGAACUAUUAUUGCCUUGUGGUUUUCAGGGACAUUAUUCCAGGAUGGUGAUAUUUCCUGUUUCGACAUCCGGUUAUUUUGUUCCCUCUUUCCGGGCUAAUUCUCUUUCUGCUAAAGUUUAUUGCCUGGUUAUUGAUGAUGUUUCUCUGUGUGGAUCGGUACCUGCCCAUAUCGAUUUACAAUGGUUCAGGUUGGAUAUGUAUGCAUAUAUUUCCUUAAAAAUGCUUGGGACUCUUCCUCUAACUAUAUAUUUUUUCAUGGUUUAUCCUGUGACCGAUGAAUCUGGAAACUUUAUCGAAGGAUUAUGCUAUACUGUAAUGUGCAGAUUUUUUCGCUGUGAUUGGGAUGGCUAGAAAGAAUUGAUAAGUUGAAUGUUCUUCGUUCAUUUCAAAUUUUUGAACUAUAAUAAUUUCUAGGGUCUAGGGAUGCUCUCAAUUCCAUUCCUCUGGCUAUUUUCAUGUCAGGUCCAGGUCAAAGAUGAGGUUGGAACUUUAUCUUCUUGGCAAAGGCUUCAGGACGUUUUGGGGGAUAUAUAUUACUCCUUUUCUUUUUCUUUUAUUUUAUAUUAUUUUCAUUCAUUUCUUUCGGAUCUAAAUCUUUUGGUUUUAACCUUGAACUUAUGCAUAUACUUAUGCACAUUGUGCAGAUUCUCUGGUCACACUUUGGAACAGAUGAGUCCUAGCAUACUUAGAAACUGCUGUGUUUGGAUACUCUUCCUCUUCAAUUACUAUGACCUAUUUCUUCAAUUUUAGCAGACGUCUAUUCAAUGUGAGACUGCCUCGUCAACCAAACUUAAUUUUUAGGAUGGUGUCAUGCAGAUAUUCACGUCACUUUUAUUGGAGAAGAGUGGCAUCUUGGGAUCUUUAUGAACUUCUGCUUGGGAACUCUCAUUUCUCCAUAAUUUUUAAACAGAUCUUCGACCUCACAAAAUUCAUUCAUUGUUCAAUUGCAGCCUGGCAAGUGAUAUUUGUUGUUGGCUGGUUGUGGUGUAGGAAAGUGAUGUAAGGACUCACAACACUUCGGAGAGUGGCCUGAUUAGUGACGAAGUUUUUCUCUGGGUGUUUUCUUGGACUUUGCGUUUUCGAUGUGAUCUUGAAAGAUAUCACAGCUGCAGUGAUGACAUUGGAUUUAUCUGGUUCUGUCGUAGGUUCAAAAUUUGAUUCUCUGUUAAUUCUUAUAUCAUGGACAAAAUCCUUUUGAGCACACUUCAUCUCCAUCCACAAUCAAUGGAAGUUGAAGGAUGCACUGGCUUUGCUCAUGCUCUGGGUUCCAGCAGUCUGGGGGAUUUCUUGAACUAGUCUCUCCUCUUCUUUUUAUGUUUUUUAUUUUUUAUUUUAUUUUUUUUAAGCAAUGCUUAAAUUGCAGCCAGAGAAGUGACUUGCUUUUGGUUGGUUCCGGUGUAGGAUGAUCACAAUAAUUCAACUUUGGAUAGUGGCCUUUAUCUGUGCUGGAGUUUUGAUUAUAGGGGUUAGGGGUUUUCUUGGACCUCUGUUUUUUUUUUUUUUUCCAAAAGUGUUCUUGAAAGAUAUCACAUCUAAAGUGACAUAUUCGUUAUAUCUGGUUCUGUUGUAGGAUGAAACUAGACCUUUUUCACACUUCUACAUGGACAAAAUCUUUUGAAGCAUAGAGGACGCAAUGGCUUUGUUCAAGCAUGGUUUCCGACAAUCUGGGGGUUUUCUUGAACUAUUAUGUUUUCGGAUAAGCCAUGAUUGUAUGCAGUCAGAGGAGAGAUGCAUGUUUUUGGUUGGUUGCAAUGUAGGAUGGUGAUAAAAGGACUGAACACUUUGGUUAGGGGUCUCAGUAUGCUGAAGUUUUGAUUAUAGGGGGUUUCUUGGACUGUGUUUUGAGAUCUUGAAAGAUGUCAUAGCAAAAGUGGUAACAUUGGUUUAAUCUGGUUCUGUUGUAGGACGGAAGUACAAUGGCGAGUCUCCUAGACAAGGAUUUUGGAGUUUGAUCUUUCGUCGUUAUCGUGAAAUCUCUACCUGUGGGUGUCAUUUCCUGAGUGUUGAUUUCUAUAUAUUUCUCACUUCUAGGGUUGAUGGAAGAUUGAUUCCUGAGCAGAUGGCUUACUGUGGAAUUUGUGGUCAGAGGCUCAAUUACUUCUUCCUUUUUUCUUUUUUCCUUUCUGUUUUGGUCAUCAGCAGACAGGAAACUGGCAUAAAAGAUAUUGGUUCCUUUUCAGUUAACGAUAGAUUCUCAGUUCGCGGAUUCCUCUUUCUGUAUAUGUCACUUCAAAAAGUGUUGAUUAUGUCUCCAGGGCUACCCUGUUAAUGUUUUCCUUUUCAACACAUUGGUGGUGGUUCCUGUUCCAUAGAAGGCAGUUCUCGCUGUCACAUAUUGGAGAUAUUGGUCCAGAAUUAGUUUUUUUUGGCUAAGGCUUGGGCAUUUCAACUCCUUUCUUUGCUCCGGAUGAUUUGGUUUAUUACACAAUGGUUCCAAAUGUUUGGAGUUCAACGGGAAGCUUAUUUUUAGCAUUAUGCACAUGGUACAGAUUCUUUUAUCUUCAUUUCUUCUGGAAUUGAUCGGUAGUGUAUGCAUUGUGCUACACAGUUUGAUCAGGCUUUGUGGGGGAUCGGUGGAGUUUUAAGAGCUUCUGUUUGGAUUUGGAUUGGAUCCUCCUCUCUUUCGAUAACAGGAUUUGACUCUUUUUCAUUUUGGUGAAUUCUCGUGAUUUUGAUGUUGCCUUGUCGGCCUGCGCCGCUGAUUGGUGGAUCACGUGUUGCAGAUUAUGCAUCGUUCUACAUAGAUUCCUUGAUCAGGCCUUGUGGAGGAUCAGCCGAGUCUAGAGAUUCUGAGAAGCUUCUCUUUGGCCUGGAUCCUCCUUUCUUUCAUCAACUGGAUUUUACUCUUGAUUUUGGUGAAUUUUCGUGAUUGUUGAUUGCUAUGUCAACCUGGAGGGUCUGAUUGGUGGAUAUUCAUGCAGAUUCUUUUCCCGUAGUUAACGCUUGAGACAGGAGUUGCCUGCAACUGGGGUUGGGAUCGGUUUUGUACUCUAAUAUCAACUGUUUGGUUUCAUACUCAGUUUGUGUUUAUUGGCGAGCUAUCAUAUUUGGUCAAUACCACCCCCAAUUUCGGUUGUGUUUUCUUCAUCAGAUUUGAGUUAGAUGGAUGAAGUUCAACGAAAUAGAUCUCUUCAUCGGUGAAGACUUCGGGUGUUUUGGAGCUUUCUGAAUGAUUAAUGGAUCCUUCGCAAAUGCUGAAUUUCUGAUCAUGCGUAUUGAGCAAACAUGGGAUAGCUUGCAUUUGAAUCUCCGAUGACCUUAGCUCAUAUCUUUCACUGAUGGUUCUUUCGUGGAGUUCUUUUGAUUGUUGACCUUGUUUUGUCAAUUUGGAGCUUUGAUCUUUGAUCACGUAUUUGUCCUGAUCCCUUUAUGCUUGAUUGUAGUUCAUGCUUUUGGUAGGAGCUGCAUGCGGUCGGAGAGUCGAUUGGUUUUGUGUUUCAGUUUUGGUGGUGCAAUUUGAUUUGAUACUUGGUUUUUGUCUCUUCAUGAGCUAUAUCCGGUUGAUGAUUUCCGCCGAUGUCUGUUUUGUUGUGGUUGUCAGAUCUAAUAUUCAGACAGAUGAGGGGCAGCAAAGUCGUUCUUCUUGAUCAGCGCUGGCAUUUGUGUUUGGAAACUAUAUUUUCUCAACGAUCUUAAAUUACUUCUGUGUUUUCUCUUGGUUCUUUUUAUGGUCAAGAUUACUUUUUAAAACUGGUACUCACGUUAGGAAAGUCUGUCUUGCAGAAUCUUAAAUGAACGCGCACGCUCAUAGGUCCUACAUGGAUUGGGGAAGCCAUUGAUUCUUUGUUGGUUAACAAUUUUGUUUGCUGCAUUAUGGUUUUCUUUUUUUCCUGAACUAUUAUUGCCUUGUGGUUUUCAGGGACAUUAUUCCGGGAUGGUGAUAUUUCCCGUUUCGACAUCCGGUUAUUUUGUUCCCUCUUUCAGGCUAAUUCUCUUUCUGCUAAAGUUUAUUCCCUGGUGUUAUUGAUGAUGUUUCGCUGUGUGGAUCUGUACCUGCCCAUAUCGUUUUACAAUGGUUCAGGUUGGAUAUGUAAGCAUAUAUAUUUCUUUAAAAUGCUCGGGAGUCUCUUCCUCUUAACUAUAUUUUUUCAUGGUUUAUUCUGUGACCGAUGAAUCCGGAUAUCGAAGGAUUCUGCUAUACUGUAAUGUGCAGAUUUUUUCGCUGUGAUUGGCUAGAAAGAAUUGAUAAGUUGAAUGUUCUACGUUCAUUUCAAAUUUCUGAACUAUAAUAAUUUCUGGGGCCUAGGGAUGCUCUCAAUUCCAUUCCUCUGGCUAUUUUCAUGUCAGGUCCAGGUCAAAGAUGAGGUUGGAACUUUAUCUUCUUGGCAAAGGCUUCAGAACGUUUUGGGGGAUAUAUAUUACUCCUUUUCUUGCUUCUUUUAUUUUAUGUUAUUUUCAUUCAUUUCUUUCGGAUCCAAAUCUUUUGGUUUUAACCUUGAACUUAUGCAUAUACUUAUGCACAUUGUGCAGAUUCUCUGGUUACACUUUGGAACAGAUGAGUCCUAGCAUACUUAGAAACUGCUGUGUUUGGAUACUUUUCCCCUUCAAUUACUAUGACCUAUUUCUUCAAUUUUAGCAGACUGCUAUUCAACGUGAAACUGCCUCGUCAACCAAACUUAAUUUUUAGGAUGGUGUCAUGCAGAUAUACACGUCACUUUUAUUGGAGAAGAGUGGCAUCUUGGGAUCUUUAUGAACUUCUGCUUGGGAACUGUCAUUUCUCCAUAAUUUUUAAACAGAUUCUUUGACCUCACAAAAUUCAUUCAUAGUUCAAUUGCUGCCAGGGGAGUGAUAUUUGUUUUUGGCUGGUUGUGGUGUAGGAAAGUGACGUAAGGACUCAAAACACUUCGGAGAGUGGCCUGAUUAAUGGCGAUGUUUUACUCUGGGGGUUUUCUUGGACUUUUGUGUUUUCGAUGUGAUCUUGAAAGAUAUCACAGCUGCCGUGAUGACAUUGGAUUUAUCUGGUUCUGUCGUAGGUUCAAAAUUUGAUUCUCUGUUAAUUCUUCUAUCAUGGAUAAAAUCCUUUUGUGCACACUUCAUCUCCAUCCACAAUCAAAGGCAAGUUGAAGGAUGCACUGGCUUUGCUCAUGCAUAGGUUCCAGCAGUCUGGGGGAUUUCUUGAACUAGUCUCUCCCCUUCUUUUUACGUAUUUAUUUAUUUAUUUUAAUUUAAGCAAUGCUUAAAUUGCAGCCAGAGAAGUGACUUCCUUUUGGUUGGUUCCGGUGUAAGGAUGAUCACAAUAAUUCAACUUUGGAUAGUGGCCUUUAUCUGUGCUGGAGUUUCGAUUAUAGGGGUUUUCUCGGACCUCUUUUUUUUUUUUUUUCAAAGUGAUCUUGAAAGAUAUCACAUCUAAAGUGACGUAUUCGUUAUAUCUGGUUCUGUUGUAGGAUGAAACUAGACCUUUUUCACACUUCUACAUGGACAAGAUCUUUUGAAGCAUAAAGGAUGCAAUGGCUUUGUUCAAGCAUGGUUUCUAGCAAUCUGGGGGUUUUCUUGAACUAUUAUGUUUUCUGAUAAGCCAUGAUUGUAUUCUCUCGGAGGAGUGAUACAUGUUUUUGGUGGGUUGAAAUGUAGGAUGGUGAUAAAAGGACUGAACACUUCGGAUAGGGGUCUGAGAUAUGCUGAAGUUUUUAUUAUCGACAGAAGUACUGGGGCGUCUCCUACACAAGGAUUUUGGAGUUUGAUCUUUCCUCAUUUUUGUGAAAUCUCUGCCUGUAUCGUUUCCUGAGUGUUGAUUUGUAUAUAUUUCUCACUUCUGGGGUUGGUGGAAGAUUGAUCCGCGAGCAGAUGGCUUAUUGUUGAAUUUGUGGUCAGAAGCUCGAUUACUUUUGUUUUUUUCCUUUCUGUUUUGGUUAUCAGCGGACAGAAACUGGCAUAAAAGAUAUUGGCUCCUUUUCAGUUAACGAUAGAUUCUCAGUUCGUGGAUUAGUGUUGAUUAUGUCUCCAGAGCUACCUGUUGAUGGUUUCCUUUUCUACACAUUGGUGGUGGUUCCUGUUCCAUAGAUGGCAGUUUUCGCUUCACAUAUUGGAGAUAUUGGUCCAGAAUUAGUCUUAAGGCUUGGAUAUUUCGACUCCUUUCUUUGCUUCGGUUGAUUUGGUUUAUUACACAAUGGUUCUGAAUGUUUGGAGUUCAACCUGAAGCUUAUUCUUAGCAUUAUGCACAUGGUGCAGAUUCUUUUAUCUUGCGUUUUGGGGAGCAACGGAAAUGAUGGCAUGCAAAGAGUGCAUACUUUCUUCCCUUAGUAUUUGUUGUCACUACCUCCUCCACUUGGAUCUUGUUCUUAUGAUCGUGUUGCAGAUGCUUCAGCUGCUAAAGACAUUUUAUAUCCCUCACUUGGAGGAGAGGGUGGGCACCCCCUUAGACUUCUGUUCGGAAACUCUCUUCCUUGAUGUGGUUGCUUUGUUGUUGCUUCUCAUUUCAUACACAUUUUGGAAGGUUUUCUUUUGGGUAACUCUAUUUUCCAGUUUAAUUUUGUGUUGAUUUGAUAGUUUGAUAACAUGAUCAAGAAUCUGGUUUUGCAUCUUUUUUUUUUCUCUAAUUUUUUUUCCCUUUUAUUUGGUAGGAUUUGGAUCCAAUUGACCUAUUGGUAUGUUGGCAGACAUUUAUAUUUUGACUGGUCUUUAUCACAAGUCAUUGCUUUGGCCUGUUAUGUAGCAGUAGUUUGUCUUGGAUGAUGAGAUUUGCAGGUGUUCUCAUUAUUUUCUUAUGGGUUUUCUAAAACAUUGGGAAUGUUUAGCUACAUAUCUCUGCCGUUCAUUAUACGGUGCUGUGGAGCUGAUGUUUAGCUUCAUAUCUCUGCUGUUCAUUAUACGGUGCAGUGGAGCUGAUGGAGUCACCAUUGGGUUUUCUAAAACAUUGGGAAUGUUUAGCUACAUGUCUCUGCCGUUCAUUAUACGGUGCAGUGGAGCUGAUGGGCCACCAUGGUUUAAUUGGGAGUCUGGUAAAGUUUCUUGGGGUCAUUUAAGAUUGGAGGAGAUUAAUUUUUCUGAUUGGAUCAGUUGCUGCAAUGGAGAUGAUGAUGGUUUAUAGGAAUGGAUUUGUCUUUGCCAAUUUUGCGACUCCCCUCUUUUCCUGAAAUUGUGGCUGCCUACUACAUGACUGAGGAUAUAUACAUCUGCUUGAAGUUUUUUCCCUUCUGAGCUGCCUCUCAUUCUUCUGCAUUGAAUGCAAAAGUUUAAAGGAAUAUCUGUCUGUUGGUUGCAUUGCUCUCCUUUUUCUGAUCAGAUGGUUUAUGAGCUUUAACAAUAAAGCGCACACAUUGAUCAGGUUGCUUUCUAGGCUUCACACCUCUAUCUGCUGUUGGUGUUUGUGUCGUCAGUCUCUUUCAUGUUGGAGGAUGUAGUAUGGUCUUCUGGGUAGCUUUUCCUUGGCUGGAGUUGCUUUGGUAGAUGCCUUUCUCUUGCGGCUUGCGGGCACUGGUGUAUUCUAGCUUGCUUUGGUUUUUAGCUCCAGUCUUUACAAAUAUUGAUUUGGGUUGAUGCGGGAUCAGUUGGCUAUUUGUGGGGAGAUUCUUCUUCUUGCUGAUAUAUCACAUGGAAGUGGACGCUGAGAAUUUCAUCUCAAUGCACGAUAGCUCUAGUGCAUGUGCUUCUUUGGGUUUCUAUGGUGUGUCUGCUCAGUUUUUGAAGUACCUUCAGAGUUGGGAGCAUGUAUGAAGUUCUAUUCUUAAUUUAGAAGAAGUUUUGCUGUAAUGUUGGAAUUUAUGUACAGUGGUUUAUAUAAUGGCUUAGAGAUCUUAGCACUUUUCUGUCAAUUGGUUGAUAUCUUCUCUCUGUUAUUAUAGAUGGUAAAUGGUUUAUCAAAUAUGAUAAUAUCGGAGAUGCAUUAUUUAUUUCUGAUAUCUUCUGUUCUGUUAAAAAUUCUGUCAAGAUAAGCCGGGGUCGCUGGUGGGAUUGAUUCCUUUGAUUGCUAGUAGAUGUUUCGAAAAGUGAUUGAUUAUUGCCAAAUUAUCAAAUUUAAUAUUGGAUUUAUUCUUUAGAGCUCAUGUGACUCUGUUCAUGGCCAAUAAUGGUCAUUAGUCGUCAAUAGGUAGGGGCUGUCGGGGGCUUCUCAUUUUCAUUUUAGGUCUGAUCUCCAAGUUUGCAGGUGCGGCAGGUAUGAUAAGUAUUAAUAUAUGAUAUUAUAAUUAUAUUACAAAGAACUACAUGGGCUCUGUACCUCUCGGGGUACGUAGGCACCCACAUAAUUUGUGGAGUUCGAGCCCAACUAAUUUUAACCCCCUUCCCCCCAAUUAUUAUUUGUCUGUCUAUUUGUAUGAGUUCAUUAAUUGGUUGAGUUUUAGUUUGAUAUAUUCUGGUCUGCUAUUGCCACAACAAAUGAUCUGGUAUUGGAGGGGAUGGUGUUUGGUGUGCAUCAUUAAGGCCAAAUACGGCUUAUUUUGUAAAAUUAAACCAAAGCUUUUAGAAAAUGAUGUGAUGAUCUUUAGGUCAAGUGAUGCUUUUUGUUCGGUUAUACUGAAGUUUGUUGCAAAGUUGAUUAGAUAUGUGUGAUCUCUUUUUUGUUUUGUUAACUGCGGGUAGAUUCAACCAACUUUUAACAGUAUAGUGCCAAUUCAAUUAAAUGACUGCUGAGUUAUAGAUACUUGAACAACGAAUUGGUGGUCAGUGCCUUGUCAGUGGUAACUUUAGUUCUUCCCUGAGUGCUCUCUGUUAACCAAAAUUCUUUCGAAAAUGUAUUUGUUUUGCCAACGUGGAAUUCGCAUACAACGUUUGCUCAUCUAGCAACUUGAAGUUUCUAGGAAUCCUCUCUGGCAUCCAAUUAUUUGGAAAACUUUGGACUGUGCAUGACAUUUCACGUCAAUCUAACACGAUCGAAAACUCUGCUAUCUCAAUUAAUGUAAGUUCCAACUAUUUUGGGUGUGACCAACUGCUUUCUGCAUGUGCUUAGAACAGUAAUUAAGCCUUAGCAGUAGUAAUGAUUAGACUUACAUGUUUUACUUGUAGGAUUAAGAAUGUUUAAGGAUUGGGUCCAGUUGACUAUUCUGAUAUAUGAAAACUGAUAUCCUAUUCUGUUGUAGGAUAUGUUGAUAGAUGACAAGCGGUAAUCUUAGGGAAAUAUAUGAUAUAUGAAAGUGGAUUAAUUUACUCGUCUGACCAUUUUCUUCUCUGAGCUUACAAUUACAGACAGGCUUUUGUUGACAUCCAGUGGGCACAUAUGUUGAAGGGUAAUAAGAGAAACGGAUUGCUGUUUUUGGGUUUCAAAAUUUUUUGGUCGAGGUUACAUCUGAAAUUCUGAAAUCAGUUUUUCUCUGAUCUAACAGUUCAAUAUAUAGGUUUCCUAUGUCGACAAUUCUGUGCGUUCAUGAGUUUUUCUAUACAUACCUUCUCUUGAUUGUAUCAGAUGAUGACUCAUGGCAUUAAAAAUGAGAAAGCAUACCCCUGGUUGGUUUUCUGGACUCAGCUUUGCGGUCAGUGUUUUCCUCAAUCGGCGAUCCUCUUGUAUAUUGUUUUCUGGAUUUUACUGGUGGUGGUCUGGCAGAUUGUGGUCUUGAGAUCUUUUCGAAACCUCAUCUCAAUUAACCAGAGAGAGUAUUUCCUGUUAGUAUGGCUUUGGAAUAUCACAAUGAGGUGCUAUAGGAGGUGCAAAUCUGUCGCAGAAGCGAACUAAUUCAGUGCACAAUGAGGAGCUAUAGGAAGUGCAAAUCUGUCACAGAAACGAACUAAUUCGAUGCACGUACUGCUGUUGUCUACCCAAUGUUCAUCUUCAACUGUGCUGCUCACUGCGGAGUUCAUCGGAUGAUGGGGAAGGUGGUAAAAACUUUGUUCCAACAGAAUAAUAAGUUGAAGGUCUCAGUUGAUUUUUCCCAGGGUGUGACAGGUACGUAUUCAUUAUCCUUUCUAAAAAGAACUACGUGGACUCUGAUCCUCGUUAGACGAGGUACGUAGGCACCCACACACCUGUGGAGUUCGAGUCUAGCUUCCCCCCCUUCCUUUUUGUACUCCAAUUAUGUUUCUUGCAUGUGGAUUGAUGUGUAUAUAUAUGUCCGUCUGAUAUCGAAACUGUUCUGUUUGGAAGGGAAAUGAUGGUACACCCUGGUUUGUGAUUCGUGGCUUCAUCACCGUGUAUUCUUGGCCUGUCAUUUUGCUUAUUUUAGUUCUAUUUUCUCCUGAAGUGCUCUGUAUUGGAACCUUCGUACCCCUCUUAUCAAGGCCUGCCUCUGGCUCUUGUUGUCUUGGUGGUGGAAAGACCCAUCACAAACGAAAUAGUGAUUGGAAAAAAAAAAAAGAAGGAAAAGAUUAUGAGAAAAGUUCUUCAAGGAGGAGCCCGACAUAAGACACUACUGUGGCGUGCUUCCUUAUUGCGCUGCGGCUCUUUGAUUUUUAUCUAUAUAUAUAUAUAUAUAUAUACACACACACUAGUAGGGUUGCCCGGGCAAUGCAUGGGAUAACUAAUAAAUAAAAUUAUGCACAAUGUAUAUAUGAUGGAAAAUAUAUAUUACUUGCUUCAUAGUUAAACUCUGCUUCAAUUUAAUAUAAUCAUUAUAUAUUAUUUGAAAAUUUUGACAAUUCAAUAUUCUUAUUAAAAAUAUAUUAUGUAUUCUUUGAUCGAUCCUUAUUAUGUCAUUAUAUUGAUGCAUCCUAUCUAUAAUAUUGUUGACUUAAUCAAGUUCUAUAAGCAAAAUUCCUAUUUAAAUACUUUAUAAAUUGGUCUAUGAGGUUGAAUUAAGAACAAUUAUAUUAUAUUAUUUUAUAUCAUUUAACCACUUAAUUAGUACUGAUUCAGUGUGUUAACUAGCUAAUCAAUUAGUGAACUUAAUUAGUACUAUGUUCCAUAUGGUGGACGGGGCUAUUCUAUAUAUGUAUUAGUUAAAGAAUUUAUAAUAAAAAUUUGGCCCAUGUUGUAUGUAUACCCUCUUACGUAGAAUGUUUAUUAUUAUGUAGCCAAUCAAGUCAUGGAAAUGGAGCGGAUUUAUCGCUCUCUCGGACAUUCAGUAUUAGGCAGCUGGCCACAUGGAGCUCAACAUGUCGAAUACUGCUCUGGACUUGCUAGGUUAUCACUACGACGUGGCAUUUUCUCUGUUGGACGGAACUCCAUUCUCGUCGAGACGGUAAAGUCAUAUGUGGUAAGUGAAGAGCUGGAAAUUCUUAAUAGGAAGAAGAUUGAAGCAGCAAAAAAGUAAAAGGAAUGUUGGAGAUAUGUGAACAUAUAUUAUGCUCUGGGAACUGUAUGAUGACAUGCCAACUCGGAAUUCCGCAAAGCCGAUGCCAAAAUGUCAAAAUGUCGCACCAUUAAUUCACAUCAUAUAUUAGGAAGCCUUGUCAAAAUUCACACCAUUAAUUUUAUGGUGAUCAAAAUUCACAUGACAUGUAUAAUGUCUCUGUAUAUGAUCAGUAUAUAUGAUGCAAUUUCUUUUCGGAAUUUUUAUUUGGUAGAUACUUGUUUCGGAAUUUUUUGUUAUCCUGAUAAUUGGUUUAGUCUC